GUUUGAUCCUGGCUCAGAACGAACGUUAGCGGCGCGCCUAACACAUGCAAGUCGAGCGAGAAAGGGGCAACCCCGGUAAAGCGGCGCACGGGUGAGUAACACGUAGGUAAUCUACCCUCGGGUGGAGGAUAACUUUCCGAAAAGGAAGGCUAAUACUGCAUGAGACCACGAUUCCGGAAGGGAUUGAGGUCAAAGCCGGCCACUGUACACAAGCUGGCGCCUGAGGAUGAGCCUGCGGCCCAUCAGCUAGUUGGUAGGGUAAUGGCCUACCAAGGCGAAGACGGGUAGCUGGUCUGAGAGGAUGAUCAGCCACACUGGAACUGAGACACGGUCCAGACUCCUACGGGAGGCAGCAGUGGGGAAUCUUGCGCAAUGGGCGAAAAGCCUGACGCAGCGACGCCGCGUGAGUGAUGAAGG
RNAcentral lists this ribosomal RNA (417 nucleotides) under uncultured bacterium. RNAcentral's name for it is "bacterial SSU rRNA". It matches the Rfam family "Bacterial small subunit ribosomal RNA", at positions 11 to 414 of the family's 1533-position model. The record is from RNAcentral.